This is a long non-coding RNA of Zea mays, 2467 nucleotides long. RefSeq lists it as uncharacterized. NCBI's taxonomy places the organism in Eukaryota, Viridiplantae, Streptophyta, Magnoliopsida, Poales, Poaceae. The transcript has 3 exons. The record is from RefSeq and is a predicted model, not a curated record.
UUUCGAGAAUGCUUUUUAGUUUUUCUGUUUUGCUGUAUCUUUUAAAUAAAAGAUUUAAUCAUCAAACCGAUUUUAUAUCUAUGUUCCUGAUAUUUGUAUCAAUAAAACUAGACCACUCAUACUAUAUAUUUUUUUAAAAAAAAUAUGUACUUAAAUUAACAUAUAAUUAGUAUCUUAUUAACAUGUAAUGGAUGUAUACUAAAUAAUUUUAAAAAGUAAUUAGUGACUAUUUAUUGAUUUAUAUUUUAUUUAAUAGUUUUUAGUUCAACCAUCAAGUACUCAUGCAAAGCAAUCAAACAAAAUCUCUAAUAAACCAGACUGGCUAGAAAAUUGAACCAGACAAGGGCAUGUACACCUACUUGGCUGGCUUGACUCCACGUAACCUAAUUCCUAUGUACGGUUAACUAGGGAAGUAAACCAAACAACUUCAUAAUUUCUAGGGACUUUGAGAGAAAUGGCUUAGACUAUGUCCAUCAGUUUACCUAUGUAGUCAUCCAAAAUACUGUUUUGCACUAUUUUACAUUGUAGACUACAUUGUUCGCAAUGUAGUUUGAAUCUAUACUACUCUAUAAAGACCUAAUGAGGGCGUCCACCAUGCUGCACCAAGCACCCGCCUGCCUCCACCCUGCAACACCCCAGCCCCCAAACCACGCCCACUCCCCAUGCGAUGGCCGCUCAUCCCGCCGCCGCACCCACCGCUGCCCCACCGCGGUUCUGCAUCAACCCCACCUCCACACCUCUGCGGUGCCCUCGCCUUUGUCCCUCACACACGCCCGCGUCGCCAGCACCAUGUAGGCACGUGGAUCUCGCUCACGCCCGCAGGCUCCCAGACCCCGUCGUGCCCUACCCUCGUCGUGCCCGCGGAUCUCGCUCUUGCACGGAUGGACGCGGAUCUCGCCCACGCCCGCAGGCUCCCAGCCCCUGCCAUGCCCUUGCCCCGGCCCAGAACUGGCCAACUACGACACCGUCACGGAUGACUUCGCGGGCACGGCCGCCUUCCACCUCUCCUCUUCGGGUGCCUCACCUCGCCUCCGAUUUGGAUAGUUAUUCGUUUGUUUUCGUAUAUAGCUUGUUUUCGUAUAUAGUGACGACUGUUGUUGCUCCUGCUCCUGCCUCAUGCCAUGGGAUGGUGCUUAUGGUAUGUGUUGUCCCUAGUUGUUGUUGUAGCGAGGGUCGUGACGGGGCCGACGACUUGGAUCGGGAGGGGCUCUCCUAGAUCUGCGUAGAGGAGGGACAACAAUGCGUGCCUCUUCUUCGAUUUGAUUCAUUCCCAGUGUUCUUAUGCGAUUCUGAAUCCACGCCAGAUUCUCACUGUCAAUGAAAUUUGAAGUAUCUCACUGUGUUGCCCCCUAAGUUCAUCAUGAUCUUUAGACCCUACUCUGAAUCUCGCAUUGCUUCUGUACCACCUACGUCAAAAUUGCUUUGACUCUGUUCAUUCACUUCAGUGUCUUUUUAACUGAAGUAAUUUGUUUGUUAAUUUGAUGAAUUACCCUGCCAACGAAAUUUGAAUUACCUCAGUGUUUAACCAUCGAAUUUAUCCUAAACUUCAGACUCUCGGAAUCUCACAUUGCUUCUAUAUUUGCCUUAAAAUUGCUCUGACUCUGUUGAUUCACUUCAGUGCUAUUUUAACAUAAGUAAUUUGUUUAUUAAUUUGAUGAAUUUUGAUUUAACUAUACACUACAUGAUAGUGAUUUUAUCCACAUCUAACUUAUUCUCUUUAGUGUGUUUCAGGAAGAAUGCUUUACAAAUCCGAAUAUAAGUUCAGUACGAUAGUGCAAAUAGAGAGCAUCAGCACUAAAGAAGAUAGGGAGAGUUCAAUGCAUGAUGUUUGUUUUGUUGACACUGGAAGAGGCGACUAAUUGAGGCGGUUGUCAUUGCCACCGGUGUGCACACAUUCUUUGUCAAGGCCGCAUAUCUUGUCGAUUCAACAAACCAAGUUGGUCAUUUUCAGAAGGCAAGCUAAGUGUGAUGCCGCCACAUAAGACCAUGCCCACUGUAUUUAUAUUUUAUACUAAUUUUUAACGUCCAAAGGACACCAGAUGUUUCAAUGUUAAUGGUGCUAUUGUUAUACACUGAUGUUUUGUUCCUGUUUGCUUGCAACUUUUUGCAGCUGUUCAUGCUAUCGGUUUGGAAAGAACAUGUGGAAAGCCAAUCUCGGAUCUUGCUUCCUUCAGGGAUUGUCUCCAUCCUCUUGAUAGCGAUCUAUAUUGGUUAUUUCCGAAGAAGAAUCAAGAAGCAAUUCAACAUUCAUGCAAGUGUGGUACCAGAUUGAGAUAUGUCUGUUAGUUUGUAACAAUAUAAACUUGUUAGUUAUGUGUCAGAGAAAACAUAGUAACAAUGAUUUGUGCUCUAUUUCUACCCGUCAUUGUGUCCUAUCUCAAUGGUGACUUCUUUGUACACAACUGUGUGGUCUCUCUAUGUCCUAAUAAAUACAUGCAUCAUCAAUGAACUUAAUGGAUAUUGUCAA